Molecule: non-coding RNA, 71 nt
Organism: Oryzias latipes (Japanese medaka)
Lineage: Eukaryota; Metazoa; Chordata; Actinopteri; Beloniformes; Adrianichthyidae
Source: Rfam
CUCGACCACGGGUAUUCUUGGGUUGAUAAUACAGAUAUGGAUGUUAUUGCUUGAGAAUACGCGUAGUCGAG